GUGCUUGCUUCAGCGGCACAUAUACUAAAACUGGAACAAUACAAAGAUUAGCAUGGCCCCUACACAAGGAUGACACAAAUUUAUGAAGCAUUCCAUUUAAAA
Molecule: small nuclear RNA, 102 nt
Filed under: Myotis brandtii (Brandt's bat)
Lineage: Eukaryota; Metazoa; Chordata; Mammalia; Chiroptera; Vespertilionidae
Source: RNAcentral